UUUAGCCACCUUCCUCCACGUUUGGGUGUGCGCCCGCGUAUAUGGACAUAACAUCUGUGUGUGUGUGUGUAUGUGUGUGUGUGCGUGUAUGUGUGUGUGUGUGUGGACACUCUGUGUGCAUGUGUAUCAGGAGAAUGUGGUGGAAAGAGUGACAGCUCUCUUAGUCUUUCUUCAUAGAAAUGACAGGAAGUUUAUGAGAUGCCUUCAGUAUAAGAGCUUUCCCAAGGAUCAAAAGGAUUCCUAGAAUUCAUCAACUCUAUCAUUCUGUCCACACUGCCUACGUUCUAAAGAAAGUAUCCUCUUCAAAUAGUUUCCCGUCAUCUCAAAACCAUAUAUAUGACCAGAGGAUUUUUCUCAGUAUUUAAUCAGCAUCUUACUUAAAUACGUUUCUCCUUUGUCCUCAGUGAAUGAAGUGAAGAGACAUCCCAUCUCCCUUGAGUGAAAACUGUUCUCUCCUCAGUGACUCUGGGUAAAACUGCUCACUGAGGGCCAAAAGAACGACAUCGCAAGUCAUCCCAGGCCACAUCACGGCAUGGCACAGUGGUGACAUCACAGAAACCAGCUAAGCUCUUCAUGCGAAGGGCAGAGCCGGCACUCAAGCCCUGAGCCACUGUCACGCGCAAACACCAGCUCAGUAUUUUCUACCUGAGGAGACUGCUCAGGACGUAGACAUCAGAAGGAGUGAGUCAGGCCUCCCAAGCAUAUGCUUCGUUCCUAAGCCAAGCAAACUGCCACAGUAGGAGCCUGGCUUCGGGACACAGUCCCUGGCCCCUGAGUGAGAUGCGCAUCUGAGGCAGUCAAGAGGAAUAAGCCUUGUGUUUUCAUUCUUCUCACCCUGGGGGCUGCCCAGCUAUGCCCUUGUGGGGCCUGGGAGUCUGGUGGGUCUCAAAGUGCACCACCUGCUCCCUUUGGAAAUAGGCUGCUCUCUCCUGGUUUGAAUCCUCACAACCUUCCCCCUACAACUCCUUUUGAUCAGAAGUUGGUGGAUGGCACGUAUAGGAUAGAUGACAUUGAUGUACUCUGGUCAUUUCACAGCCUCCCACAGCCCGGGCAUCCUGGCAGUGGGAUUAUUUUAGUGGUAUCUGGGGAAGGACCCUUGGCCAUGAGCUGCACUGGUCACUGGUGGCCUGGAACCCAGUGUCCUGAGGAGCUGGACCUGAGGGGCAGUGGCUCCCCAGUCCCCAGCCCAUGCACAGCUCUUUCAGGAGAGAUCGAGGCAGGGUUUGGAACACAGUGAAAGCAUGAAAAUAGGAGACGAAUAUCCACACCUGGACACGGCUGAUCCAAUUGGUUUGGGACAUUCUGCUCAGCCUGCAGCCGGCACACCCAGACUUGCCUGGUCUUGGUCCUCUGUUACCCACCACAGAAACUGAUUUCCCCAAAUCUAGCCCUGAACUAAUAGGAGUUAUUACUGCAGCCCAAUACAACUACACCUCUCUCUGUGUAAUACUUGCAUCCCUAAAGAGUAGCAUUGUCAAUUGUGAAUAUUUAAUGAAUUGUAUCACAUUUUUAAAUGUAGAA
Long non-coding RNA from Mustela erminea (ermine), 1521 nucleotides. RefSeq lists it as uncharacterized. The transcript has 3 exons. The record is from RefSeq and is a predicted model, not a curated record. NCBI's taxonomy places the organism in Eukaryota, Metazoa, Chordata, Mammalia, Carnivora, Mustelidae.